This 2190-nucleotide long non-coding RNA is filed under the name Helianthus annuus (common sunflower). RNAcentral describes it as "hypothetical non coding rna". The record is from RNAcentral. Lineage: Eukaryota; Viridiplantae; Streptophyta; Magnoliopsida; Asterales; Asteraceae.
UUUGGGCGGCAUUUUCCUCUCCUCUCAAUUCUCAAUCAAUUCCUUCAUUCUUCUUUCAAAAGCUUCUUGAAUUAUAUAUGGAAAGUUGAAUAAUUCAUCAAUUACCGGAAGAUCUUUUGCGAAAAUAUGGAAGCGUUUCCAUUCUUAAUCUAUUAAUGAUAGAUUGGUUCCUUUUCUUCAUUCUAUCUAAAAGUGGUUUGUUAUUCAUCUGUUUUUGAGUCAUGGUUUCUUUCAAUCGGCGUUACAGACUUACAAUCAUCGAUCAUUUCUUUCAAUCGGUGUUUCAAACUCUUUGAUCGUACCAUAUACAGUUGAUUUCAACAGGUAUGUUUUUCAGAAACACUAAUUUUAGGGUUUCUGAUGUAAAAUUGUUCAUCAGACACACUAAUUUUUUGUUGAAGAAAAUACAUAUUGUAUUUUUUUUGUUGAUUCAAGCAUAAAUACGGAUUCCUCAGGAGCGGGUUGGAUUAGUCCCGAGACAAGAACGAUUGGAUAUUUUUGUACGAUUAUGGAUUAUCUGUAGGAAAGGGAAAUUUUGAUUGGAUAUUUUUGUUCAAUUUGAUAAUUUAUUUGUUAAUUUCUAAUUCAAGAUACACAAAAUAUGAGAUUAUAUGUUUAUUUUUUAAUUUUUGUAUUUGAUGUGAUGUCUUCUAGGUGUUUAAUGAAAUGCUACAUAUGAUCAAGUGGAGCAGUUGUUAAAAUUCUCUUUGUUUUAUGAUUCUUAUGUUUUCCAAUUGCCUUUUUUUCUACUAAUAUAAUUAUAUAACAUGUACACUUGCAGACAGUUUGUGCAUAUGCAGAAUGCAUCAGCAACAAAGUAUGUCUUUCUAACGCGUCUCGCCUGGCUAUUAAGGUAACCACCAUAUCCAUUAUUCAUGAUACCAGCUAAUUUUUGUAUUUGGUAAAUGUUGUGAGUCACACAUGAUUGGUUAUAACUAGAUACAUGAUGUUUGAUACUUUGAUGUAAUGCCUCACUGAUCCGCUAACAAGUGUGACAGAGUUUUAGUAUUCUUCAUAAGAAAUUUGUCAACAGAUAAUGAUCCAAGAUUGGAAUCCUCAGAAUGAUCUGCAGGUUUGGGAGUGUAUGAUAUCUAUCUCUAUUUAUAGUCACUACAUACUAAUUUCAUGACUUUUGUUAGGCAAUGUGCAGAGCUCACAGAAUUGGACAACAAGAAGUCGUUAUAACAUAUUAUAAAGUAGUAUAGAUUAUGUAUGAUUAUGAAGGCUUCAAACUUUGCAUUGACAUUUGAAAGGUUCUUAUUUUGUUGGUUUACCGUCAUUCUCUAAUUUACUAAUGCUAUAUUAUUACAGCAAGCUGCUAUUGCAAUUGUCAUGGAUGUAGAUGCCACCUUGGGGAAGAAAAAAGUUGCAGAGCAGAUGGGUUUUUCAUGGUCUACAUUGACCUUUUGAAUGAGGACCUUCAUGAACAUCAGUGCAUUCUGAUUGCUUUGAACCUGCUUCUUAACCAGAAAUUAAGGUUCCAACUGCGAUAUUAGAGGCAAGCUUGACCAGUUACACUCACAAGAAGAAGUCAAACAUGGAACCUUAAUUAGAAAAUCAAGAAAUUGAGAGCUUUGUGAAGAUAUUCAAAGGUGUUGGUCAUGGAUGGGCUUCAAGAUAUAGCGAGGAUAAUGAAUCUGUUGAGAGGAGUGCUGAGGUGGCCAAGCAUGUGAUUUUUUAAGCGAGUCGAGUGGUUAUUUUUCUUAUCUCACUUAUGAAGGUGUAACAUGAUAUACUUGAAGCCAAGAACCUUACACUCUAAUUCAUCAUUGUAAAGCAUUGUGCUUUAGAGUAGAAUGACGAGUUAGCUUCUGAAGUUGGAGACUUUACUUGAUGAUAGCGUGGGGCAAAAUGUCGAGUUGGAAUUUGAAAGGAGUGGCACGUCUUUGACCGUUCAAUUGGUGGCUGAAGACUUACACUCAAUAACUCUUUCGGAGUUAGGAGUGGCACGUCUUUGUGAUGUACAUUUUAGAUGUGAGAUUUUUAACCUGUUUACCUACAAAAGUGUUGACUUAAGUUACGUUGUAUGUCUAAUUAGUUUAACGGUUUCAGGUAAAACCUUUAACCGAAUAGGAAACCAUUUGAAAGUCUCUAUAAGAGUACACCUAGCUGAGUAGCCGUAGAAUAAUCAUUUUUGUUAUUUGAACGAUUUGAUAAACUUAUCUCUAUUUUUUUAUUGCCAACAAACUU